Molecule: non-coding RNA, 175 nt
Organism: Caenorhabditis elegans
Lineage: Eukaryota; Metazoa; Nematoda; Chromadorea; Rhabditida; Rhabditidae
Source: Ensembl
CUAGGAUUCGAAGUUGAAAAGCUUCUUACCACAACCACCUCCUCCGCUUUGAACGUAGACUGGUUGAACUUGUGGACAAUAUGCUGCUGGUGGAGCUGGACAUGGUUGUGGUGGGGGACACACUGGACAUGAUGGUGCUUGUGGACACUGUAAAUAUAUUUAAUAACUGUGGGAU